Non-coding RNA from Macaca mulatta (Rhesus monkey), 2825 nucleotides. Lineage: Eukaryota; Metazoa; Chordata; Mammalia; Primates; Cercopithecidae. The record is from RefSeq and is a predicted model, not a curated record.
AACGUGCAUUCAGCGAAUGGUUUUAAGUUCAUAUCUGAGAUGAUGCUGUAGAAUUCAUUAAUCAUAUGGGAUCAGUAAUGAUGGCAGGUAAUUCUGGCUGAUGUCACUUAGAGGAUAUUUUUCACUUCAAGUUACAACUUCCUUCGUGAUAGUCAUUUUGGGAUUCAUUUAAAUAUGUGCUUUAUUUCACAGCUCAGAUUUUCAUUAGACAUUUCAUAACAUAGGAUUUUGAAAGCAGAUUUGGCAAAAUCUUUCUAGCAAAAUGUCUGACGUCAGAAGGAACAGCACUCAGAAUUACUGGUAACUGUGGUCCAUUUUAAGGCUGAUGAUAGAAGUCACUUGAACGGUUAGGGCUGCUUUGUGAGGCGGAUGGGGUUUUUGAACCCUGACCCUCCUGACACGCCAGCCCUGGCCCUGGCCUUCUCUCCUCUCCUCUCCUCUCCACUGGGAGAUGAGAAGGUGCCAGCAUCCACCUCACAGGCCAUCGUGAGAACCCGGGACUCAGGGUUUGUGUUCCUCUUGCAGGUGGCGCCGCAGAUGUGGGGGCCUGACGAUAUAUACACACUGCAGGCUGCCAGUGUCGGGGUAAUCCAGUUUUCGUCAAAAGGACCGUCUAUCCCAGGAAUGCCAAACCCCACUGGCUUUCACCCGACGCUGUCGUAGGUGACGCCGUAUGGAAAUGAGGACCCAUGUGCCGCAUACCUGAGCCCCCAGUACCCGUCUCCCUCGAGGGCCGUGGCCGAGCCCUCCUGAUUUCGCUGGGUUGCCAGCCUGGGGAUCUGUAAGCCCAGCGACGCCUGCGGUCUCGGCCCCCCUCCCCGUGGGGACAGGAGGUGGCUUCCGGAGGCUGGUGAUGAAUGCCUGAAUGAAGCCGACUUGUGACUGCAGUUCUGUCUAAGGGCCUCCCCGGGUGUUAGAUGUCAGUAAAUGACACCUGUGUGUGUGGAUCUCAUGUGAUGAGAGAAAGAGUGGGGGAAACCAAAGCUUGUGGAGUCUGCAGGUUCUGGACUUGGGGAUGUGUGCACCUGUGUACUUGGUGAGGGGUGUGAGGUCUGGAAUGAGUGUGCACGUGUGUCACGUUUGUGCGUGUGUGGUGAGUGUAUUUAGCAGGUGUGUGUGGAGUGAGCAUGUUCAUGCGUGUGUCGUGUAUAUUGGAGGGUGUGUGGAGUGUGUACACGCAUCACAUUUGGUGAGUGUAUUUGAGGGUGUGUAUGGAGUGCAUAGAUGCGUUUGCGUGUAUAGUAUCGGGUGAAGGGGUGGCAUGUGUGGAGUAAGCAUGCACACGUGUGUGCUGUGUGUGGGGUUUCUGCCUGGUCCUCCCCUGAGCCUGCUCCUGGGCCCUGCUGUCCUGGCAGCUUUACAGUUUGGUGUGUCUUUGAUUCCGGAAGAUUCUGGAACCCGACUCUGAAGCUGUGAUCGCAAACUUGCAGCCCUUGGAGGACGCUGGCCCGUGGAGCCGGCACGAGGAUCUCUGGGCUGGGCUGGGCUGGGCUCCUCUGUCCACAGCAGAGCGUGUCCGAUGAUUGAGCUGUGCGGGUCUGUGGCUCCCCAGCCUCGAGUCAGCCCUCGGUUCUGGUCCCGCCUCUGUUUUUCUUGCUGAGGGGCUCCGGGAAGUGGUGCCUGGGAUGACGUUUUCACCCUGGGGUUGCUUCGCCUGCUGCCCAGGUGCUGGCUGCCUGAGCCCUGCUGCCGUCCUGGGUGGACGGGGCUGGCGCGGGGACAUCCCUGAGCACCUGCGGGAAGGCAGGUUUAGGAAGUGCCAGAGGUGAGUGGCUUCCUCCCAGACUUGAUUUUCUGGAAAGUUCUGGGCCUCAUAUUUUUCCCUAAGGGAAGUUAGGAACUGAGUUUCUCUUCAGGGGAACGUCUUUGCAGCGUCUGUUGUUAGAAUGUUCUCCAGGUGUGGAAUACCCGGGGCCGUGUGUGUUUGGGAACAUCCGUGUCCUGAGCCAAUUCAGUGGGGAAUGGAGAGAGGCCUCCCUCCUGUCAGCUUGGCCUCUGUUUCCGGCUUGCGAGUUGUGAGGGUUGGCGGCUGCUGGUAUCCCAGGGAGAGGGAAACACUGGGUGGCGUGGGAUGGGAACGUUCGCUCUGACCAGGUCAGUGGGAAAGCGUCUAAGCAAACGUCGCUGUUGUCCGGGCUCCUCGGGGUCGAGCUUGUUUUGUGGUGUUGAGGGAAAAGCUACCCUUGUUCCUGUUCCUCACCAUUUGAAUGGUGUCCAGGGCUUGUUCCGCCGGAGAGGUGAUGCGCGUGAAUGGGGGUCAGGUCGCAGGCUCCGAGGUUAUUUGGAAUCUGUCAACGGACUUCCUAAACACACCGGUGCUUGGUAAAGAGAUGUUCCUGAUUGGCUAAAACAUCUCAACAGGACGUGAUAGCUGGUGGUGGUUUAAAGACUACCACAAUUUUCCUGUUACUUUUUAAAUGCCUGUUGAAUAGGGGAGGAUUCACAUAGUUUUCUUUUCCCGUCUGCGUACUUGAUACUUUGUUUGUUUGUGUUUUUAUGUGGGUGUGCAGUUAACAGGAUUUCGAAGCAGUCUCAGCCCUGGGGAGACUUCAGGGCAGCCUCAGUCAGCGCUGAAGGGAGGCAGGGAUUUGGGGGCUACCUCCUCCACAGGACGCGGACACCAAGGGCCAGAGGUCAGCAAUCUCAGUGAGGUGACACAGACGGGCACACCCAGCACCCUGGCCCCUGUGCCUCUCCUUCACGUUUGUCUCUGCUCCAAGCUGCUCUCCUGGGUCAUCACGGGUGAUCUCUAGGCGCGUGCUUGGUUCUUGCAGAAGUGGUGUCUGGCUGUGGUCAGUGGGGGCUCUCGGGACUUCCAUGUUUUU